RNAcentral lists this ribosomal RNA (2214 nucleotides) under Escherichia coli. RNAcentral's name for it is "bacterial LSU rRNA". It matches the Rfam family "Bacterial large subunit ribosomal RNA", at positions 614 to 2812 of the family's 2925-position model. Lineage: Bacteria; Pseudomonadati; Pseudomonadota; Gammaproteobacteria; Enterobacterales; Enterobacteriaceae. The record is from RNAcentral.
AAUGGGUCAGCGACUUAUAUUCUGUAGCAAGGUUAACCGAAUAGGGGAGCCGAAGGGAAACCGAGUCUUAACUGGGCGUUAAGUUGCAGGGUAUAGACCCGAAACCCGGUGAUCUAGCCAUGGGCAGGUUGAAGGUUGGGUAACACUAACUGGAGGACCGAACCGACUAAUGUUGAAAAAUUAGCGGAUGACUUGUGGCUGGGGGUGAAAGGCCAAUCAAACCGGGAGAUAGCUGGUUCUCCCCGAAAGCUAUUUAGGUAGCGCCUCGUGAAUUCAUCUCCGGGGGUAGAGCACUGUUUCGGCAAGGGGGUCAUCCCGACUUACCAACCCGAUGCAAACUGCGAAUACCGGAGAAUGUUAUCACGGGAGACACACGGCGGGUGCUAACGUCCGUCGUGAAGAGGGAAACAACCCAGACCGCCAGCUAAGGUCCCAAAGUCAUGGUUAAGUGGGAAACGAUGUGGGAAGGCCCAGACAGCCAGGAUGUUGGCUUAGAAGCAGCCAUCAUUUAAAGAAAGCGUAAUAGCUCACUGGUCGAGUCGGCCUGCGCGGAAGAUGUAACGGGGCUAAACCAUGCACCGAAGCUGCGGCAGCGACACUAUGUGUUGUUGGGUAGGGGAGCGUUCUGUAAGCCUGUGAAGGUGGCCUGUGAGGGUUGCUGGAGGUAUCAGAAGUGCGAAUGCUGACAUAAGUAACGAUAAAGCGGGUGAAAAGCCCGCUCGCCGGAAGACCAAGGGUUCCUGUCCAACGUUAAUCGGGGCAGGGUGAGUCGACCCCUAAGGCGAGGCCGAAAGGCGUAGUCGAUGGGAAACAGGUUAAUAUUCCUGUACUUGGUGUUACUGCGAAGGGGGGACGGAGAAGGCUAUGUUGGCCGGGCGACGGUUGUCCCGGUUUAAGCGUGUAGGCUGGUUUUCCAGGCAAAUCCGGAAAACCAAGGCUGAGGCGUGAUGACGAGGCACUACGGUGCUGAAGCGACAAAUGCCCUGCUUCCAGGAAAAGCCUCUAAGCAUCAGGUAACAUCAAAUCGUACCCCAAACCGACACAGGUGGUCAGGUAGAGAAUACCAAGGCGCUUGAGAGAACUCGGGUGAAGGAACUAGGCAAAAUGGUGCCGUAACUUCGGGAGAAGGCACGCUGAUAUGUAGGUGAAGCGACUUGCUCGUGGAGCUGAAAUCAGUCGAAGAUACCAGCUGGCUGCAACUGUUUAUUAAAAACACAGCACUGUGCAAACACGAAAGUGGACGUAUACGGUGUGACGCCUGCCCGGUGCCGGAAGGUUAAUUGAUGGGGUUAGCGGUAACGCGAAGCUCUUGAUCGAAGCCCCGGUAAACGGCGGCCGUAACUAUAACGGUCCUAAGGUAGCGAAAUUCCUUGUCGGGUAAGUUCCGACCUGCACGAAUGGCGUAAUGAUGGCCAGGCUGUCUCCACCCGAGACUCAGUGAAAUUGAACUCGCUGUGAAGAUGCAGUGUACCCGCGGCAAGACGGAAAGACCCCGUGAACCUUUACUAUAGCUUGACACUGAACAUUGAGCCUUGAUGUGUAGGAUAGGUGGGAGGCUUUGAAGUGUGGACGCCAGUCUGCAUGGAGCCGACCUUGAAAUACCACCCUUUAAUGUUUGAUGUUCUAACGUUGGCCCGUAAUCCGGGUUGCGGACAGUGUCUGGUGGGUAGUUUGACUGGGGCGGUCUCCUCCUAAAGAGUAACGGAGGAGCACGAAGGUUGGCUAAUCCUGGUCGGACAUCAGGAGGUUAGUGCAAUGGCAUAAGCCAGCUUGACUGCGAGCGUGACGGCGCGAGCAGGUGCGAAAGCAGGUCAUAGUGAUCCGGUGGUUCUGAAUGGAAGGGCCAUCGCUCAACGGAUAAAAGGUACUCCGGGGAUAACAGGCUGAUACCGCCCAAGAGUUCAUAUCGACGGCGGUGUUUGGCACCUCGAUGUCGGCUCAUCACAUCCUGGGGCUGAAGUAGGUCCCAAGGGUAUGGCUGUUCGCCAUUUAAAGUGGUACGCGAGCUGGGUUUAGAACGUCGUGAGACAGUUCGGUCCCUAUCUGCCGUGGGCGCUGGAGAACUGAGGGGGGCUGCUCCUAGUACGAGAGGACCGGAGUGGACGCAUCACUGGUGUUCGGGUUGUCAUGCCAAUGGCACUGCCCGGUAGCUAAAUGCGGAAGAGAUAAGUGCUGAAAGCAUCUAAGCACGAAACUUGCCCCGAGAUGAGUUCU